AUGCCUUGUGGAAGCAAUACUCGCUUGAAUAAAGAAGCAUUGUCCCUUUCUCAUAAGACAAUCCCUUGCUUGAGCGCAAGCAGGAAUGGCAAACACCGGAUCAAACCAACUCUAGAAGACGCCUUAACGCUGAGGCCACCCAUUAGGGAGCACACUAUGCUAGAAUCCACAACAUCAGAAUCUGGCAAAACAGGGAGGCCUUUUUGUACGGCUGAAGAGGUAAGCUUGAUGAGAAAGGUGUCUUUUGAAAUCGAGUAACUUAAUAGUUGCAACAGAACUGUAUCUUCGCUGAAGUGAAUUUUGUAACAUUCAGUGCAA
This 318-nucleotide long non-coding RNA is filed under the name Apteryx owenii (little spotted kiwi). RNAcentral describes it as "lncRNA (ENSAOWG00000016172.1)". Lineage: Eukaryota; Metazoa; Chordata; Aves; Apterygiformes; Apterygidae. The record is from RNAcentral.